This is a non-coding RNA of Vicia faba (fava bean), 231 nucleotides long. The record is from the annotation of a GenBank genome assembly. Lineage: Eukaryota; Viridiplantae; Streptophyta; Magnoliopsida; Fabales; Fabaceae.
AUGUACAUCAAGUUGGUAUUUGUUUUCCCACCCAAACUACAUAUUUUUAAAUCUAUAUGUACAUCAAGUUGGUAUUUGUUUUCCCACCCAAACUACAUAUUUUUAAAUCUUAAUGGUGACUAUUUAAAAGAACUGUUAUUUUCUACAGUUGCUGCUGAUCAGUCAUAUAAGGUGGAGGCGAUGGAAGCGGUAGCACGUUAUCUAAAAAUCCUCAAUCUUAGGAAGGUCUAA